This is a transfer RNA of Camelus ferus (Wild Bactrian camel), 72 nucleotides long. It matches the Rfam family "tRNA". From Rfam's summary of the family: Transfer RNA (tRNA) molecules are approximately 80 nucleotides in length. Their secondary structure includes four short double-helical elements and three loops (D, anti-codon, and T loops). NCBI's taxonomy places the organism in Eukaryota, Metazoa, Chordata, Mammalia, Artiodactyla, Camelidae. The record is from Rfam.
AAGGGUAUAGCUCAGUGGUAGAGUGCCUGCCCAGCAUGCACAAGAUUCUGGGUUCAAUCCCCAGUACCUCUG